CAUCAUCUGGUUCAAAGUGGCCAGUGUUGUUCCACGUAUUGCCGCUGCUAUUGCCAUAGUUAUCAUCAGUAUUGGCUGGCUCUGCAUAAUCAGCUGGGUUAAAGGUUCCCAUUCCUUGAGCAGAAAACCUUCCUCCUCGCCUACCAGAGCCACCUCUGCCUCGGCCACGGCCCCUUCUGCCUCUUUCUGUUCCUCUUCCAGAAGGCCCUCCACUCUUGGUGCCAUCCAAUCCAUUUUCCUGACCUCGAAACUCUCGUCCACGGCUGGCACCUCUCCCCCGUCUUGGUGGCCCACCACGUCGCCGACUAUAGUCUCUGUCCCGGUCUCGAUUUUCUUUGCCUUCCUCAUUGGAUUCCGUCUGGCCACCAUCCUUCUGGCCUGAGACUCCCUUCUUCUUCCCGACCAUCUCCCAGGAAUGCGUGUCUGGGUUUCCUUCCAGAAGAACAUUGAUAGCUCUGUUGACAUCUCCAUUGCAGUCAUGCAAAGCAAUCACACAUUCAUCCUGGUUCUUGCCUGUAAUAUCAAUCAAUUGUUUCACCUUCUCCUCAAAGUCAGCAUCAUUAUGGUCCGAAAUCAUCUGUGCAAGUCUAAUUUGUUCUGCAGUGGCCUGUGGCCGCUGCUUGUGCUGUGUCUGGUUUUGGUUUUGAGGUUGUUCCCAGUUUCCCCGGGCUCGGUUAGUGCCCACCGAUGUCAUC
RNAcentral lists this long non-coding RNA (695 nucleotides) under Homo sapiens (human). RNAcentral describes it as "LNC_000352". Lineage: Eukaryota; Metazoa; Chordata; Mammalia; Primates; Hominidae. The record is from RNAcentral.